Molecule: ribosomal RNA, 518 nt
Filed under: uncultured bacterium
Lineage: Bacteria
Description: bacterial SSU rRNA
Rfam family: Bacterial small subunit ribosomal RNA
Source: RNAcentral
AGAGUUUGAUCCUGGCUCAGGAUGAACGCUAGCUACAGGCUUAACACAUGCAAGUCGAGGGGCAGCAUUGGAGUAGCAAUACUCAGAUGGCGACCGGCGCACGGGUGAGUAACACGUAUCCAACCUGCCGCUUACUCGGGGAUAGCCUUUCGAAAGAAAGAUUAAUACCCGAUGGUAUAAAGAGUUCGCAUGUUCUCUUUAUUAAAGAAUUUCGGUAAGCGAUGGGGAUGCGUUCCAUUAGAUAGUUGGCGGGGUAACGGCCCACCAAGUCUACGAUGGAUAGGGGUUCUGAGAGGAAGGCCCCCCACAUUGGAACUGAGACACGGUCCAAACUCCUACGGGAGGCAGCAGUGAGGAAUAUUGGUCAAUGGACGAGAGUCUGAACCAGCCAAAGUAGCGUGAAGGAUGACUGCCCUAUGGGUUGUAAACUUCUUUUAUAAGGGAAUAAAGUGAGGGACGUGUCCCUUUUUGUAUGUACCUUAUGAAUAAGGAUCGGCUAACUCCGUGCCAGCCGCCGC